CAAUAGCGUAUAUUAAAGUUGUUGCAGUUAAAAAGCUCGUAGUUGGAUUUCUGGUUGAAGCGACCGGUCGGGCGUUGAUUCGUCUGCACUGGAGUCGGUUUUGGCCAUCCUCUAGGAAAGUGCGUCUGGUAUUAAGUUAUCGGGCGUAUGAUCCUGGUCUUUUACUGUGAAAAAAUUAGAGUGUUUAAAGCGGGCCUUCGCCUUGAAUACAUUAGCAUGGAAUAAUAAGAUAGGACUUUGGUCUAUUUUGUUGGUUUGCAGACCGAAGUAAUGAUUAAUAGGGAUAGUUGGGGGUAUUUAUAUUCCGAUGUCAGAGGUGAAAUUCUUAGAUUUUCGGAAGAUAAACUUAUGCGAAAGCAUUUACCAAGGAUGUUUUCAUUA
Molecule: ribosomal RNA, 381 nt
Filed under: uncultured eukaryote
Lineage: Eukaryota
Description: partial 18S ribosomal RNA
Rfam family: Eukaryotic small subunit ribosomal RNA
Source: RNAcentral